AUUGUUUCCUCGGCCGCUCCUCCCGCCAGGCCGGCGUCACUGGCCGGGCGCCCGGGCCGGCGGCGGGUUAUUUAUAGCGCAGGCUGCGCGCGUCACGGAGCCCGGCCCGGCUGACGGGGCCGCUGACGCGCUUGGCCGCGGGGCCGAGGGCGCGGGGUGCGCGCGGGCGGCGACAAUGGGCCGGAGCGCGCGCCUCCCCGGCCUCCGCGGGCCGCUCUCGGGCCCGGGGCCUCGGCUCCGCGCCUCCACGGGGGUGGCCGGCUCAGCCUCGGCCUCGACCCCGGGGCUCAGCUCGGCGGUCCGCGCUCCCUGCCGCGCACCCGGACUGCAGGAAGAGCUGGAGCCGGGCUGCUCGACCACUCCGCGCCCGGGGACGCGGCGACCUGGGGCCCGGAGCGCUGGGCAGACAUGCAAAAUUGACAAAGUUUAACAAAGCUGAUCUUGGAAAUUGCCAUUCUACCUACUAUCUGGUGAGGUGUGGAGAGGUGGAAAAUACGACUUCCGGUGUUAGGAUGUCGGUAUCAACACACCGAAGUCAUCGUUUAGAUCCUACCGAGUGGCUUAGUAAUAAAUACUUCAUAUUAGAUUUUAAAAUCUGGCGACUAAUAAAAUGUAACUGCCUUUAAGCUUGGAUUUUAAACAUGAUCAUCUUUUUACCAUUCCUUGUAUUUGUUGAUUCACAAACGCAGAUCACAAUAAAAGACAAGCAACAACUUAAAGAAUAUUAAUUAAAGUAUUAUUCGCACUUUAAUUUCACAUUUACUUUUACGUAUGAAGGGAUAUCAUAAAGCUAGAAAUAUAACAUGUAGGGUUUUUUUUUUCAUUCAGCAAUCUGUAAGAAAGUUCACAUGAAACGAUAGACUUGACUCCCAAAGUACGUAAAAUAGACACGAACAGUCUAAAAAUGUAUUUACUUUUAAUUUUCUACAUUUCAGAAAGUGAUAACAUUUCAAAAGUUUAUAUAUCAUGUCCUUUCAGAAUCAUUUUGAAAGGCCAAGAUGACACCCUCAUCCCCUGGACACACAUACCUUAUAAUGGCUGAUGGUUUGUGAAGCAGUGUUUGGGUUAGUUCAGACAUUCUGUCAUUAUAGCUAACGCCUUUUGCCUAUUUAUAUAGCAAGGAAUCUUCUACAGAAUAACUUAGGCUCUGUCUACCUUAUGGUGAGAUUCUUUGCUGGGGCUGUUUCCCUGCAGUCUUUUACUAGCUGAGGUUUGGUUUGUUCUGUGGCACCAGUACUCUAUGAAUUUAAAGCCAGACCAGGAGGGAGCCUGUCCAUCACGACUCCAUCUUCACGACCUGUGAAUUGACAGUGACCGUGUCCCUUAACCAGUCACACAGAACUUGCCUUAUAAAGCUGUUAUUGUCACGGGCAGAUACUGCAACCUUUUGUCAAGCCCCGUGAUUAUUAAAGUGUUCCUCCUUCAAAUCCAGGCCAAAAGGCCUCCUGGGCUUCGUUUCAGAGUUCAAGCAGAGUCUCAAGCAGCGCUCUUUGCUCUCCCUCUCCAGUUGUAUCAUUACGUGUAUCCACCGAUAAUCCAGGCACCCUUAUAGAUAUGAACUAUGCAUGUUUCUGUCUGCUUAUAUGACAACAUGCCUAAGAUACAUAUGGUACAGCAUUAUUUCAACGUAAAGAGUCAAUAGAUGUAUACUGUUACUCUAAACAAUGUAUCCGAUCACCAAGGGCAACACCAGAACUGCCAUUGCCCUUGUCCACUAGGAAAUAACUUUCCUUUUUGUCUUUGAGUGGUCAAACUUAAACUUCUCUUUUCCGGGUUGCCCUGCCAUGUCCUUAGUUGGAGAAUUUGUUUAGACAGGGAAACUUUUGAAAACUGUGCAUGGGUUGGCCAAGAAAAUACUUCUUUGUUUCCGAUGGCCAUGGAUAAAAGACAACUAGGUAUAUUCCCCACACUAAGUAAUUUUAUUUCCACUUUUUUCCCCCCACAGAUACAUUUGUGAUCUUUUAAGUUACACUGACUUAAUGGUUUUCUCAAGGCAGCAUGUAACCAGUUGUGAAUAGGUAUUAGGAUUCUAAUAAAACUCUUCCCCUAAGUGGGGUUGUGAGUCAUCAGGAAAGAGUGUGGACCCCACUGCACUUGAGUCUGCUUUUCAAAUUCAAAACAACCCAUGUUGUUGCAUUAGAAGCUCCUUCCUGUCUUUUACGAGCAUUUCAUUAAAAAAGAAAGUGGCAGUCUGUAAUAUUACCCCAGUCAAGCAGGAAGUGGUCUCUCCUCAUCAAUAUGCAGCUUUGUCUUUAUAUGGGUUGGUAGGAGCUCCAUACAAAUACCAUAUAAGAAAUUGACUUGGGUUGCCCUUACUUUGACUGAAGAUUGACAGGAGCUCUCCCUUUAAUUAACCUUGUUCUUUUUCAUGUUCUGUAUUCAGAUAUUGAAAUACAGUAUUUUUAUACAUUUAUCAGAUUGUGUUUGCAUUUAUUUAAUUUAUGUUUCUUUUUUUAAAGCGUGUAGUCUUGAAUGUUUGUUCUCCCUUUUUUUCACAUCAUUACUCUGGUACUGCUUGAUGUAACUUGAUUAGCUCCCUCCCCAGUCAUGAUUGGUAAUUAAAAUAGGCAUUAAAAUUAGUCACUUAGCAAUUUUGCUGUUCAAUUGGCAAUUAAAUUACUUAA
Rattus norvegicus (Norway rat) is the source of this 2624-nucleotide long non-coding RNA. NCBI's taxonomy places the organism in Eukaryota, Metazoa, Chordata, Mammalia, Rodentia, Muridae. The record is from Ensembl.